CCUACGGGGGGCUGCAGUGAGGAAUAUUGGUCAAUGGACGAGAGUCUGAACCAGCCAAGUAGCGUGAAGGAUGACUGCCCUAUGGGUUGUAAACUUCUUUUAUAAAGGAAUAAAACGAGGCACGUGUGCCUUUUUGCAUGUACUUUAUGAAUAAGGAUCGGCUAACUCCGUGCCAGCAGCCGCGGUAAUACGGAGGAUCCGAGCGUUAUCCGGAUUUAUUGGGUUUAAAGGGAGCGUAGAUGGGUUGUUAAGUCAGUUGUGAAAGUUUGCGGCUCAACCGUAAAAUUGCAAUUGAUACUGGCAGUCGUGAGUACAGUUGAGGUAAGCGGAAUUCGUGGUGUAGCGGUGAAAUGCUUAGAUAUCACGAAGAACCCCGAUUGCGAAGGCAGCUUACUAAACUGUGACUGACAUUGAUGCUCGAAAGUGUGGGUAUCAAACAGGAUUAGAUACCCGGGUAGUC
This 460-nucleotide ribosomal RNA is filed under the name uncultured bacterium. RNAcentral's name for it is "partial 16S ribosomal RNA". It matches the Rfam family "Bacterial small subunit ribosomal RNA", at positions 338 to 795 of the family's 1533-position model. The record is from RNAcentral.